AGUCGCCACGGGAAUACGAAGGGUGCAAGCGUUACUCGGAAUUACUGGGCGUAAAGCGUGCGUAGGUGGUGGUUUAAGUCCGUUGUGAAAGCCCUGGGCUCAACCUGGGAAUUGCAGUGGAUACUGGGUCACUAGAGUGUGGUAGAGGAUAGUGGAAUUUCCGGUGUAGCAGUGAAAUGCGUAGAGAUCGGAAGGAACAUCUGUGGCGAAGGCGAUUAUCUGGGCCAACACUGACACUGAGGCACGAAAGCGUGGGGAGCAAACAGGAUUAGAUACCCCUGUAGUCCCUGUCUCUUAUACA
This 301-nucleotide ribosomal RNA is filed under the name uncultured bacterium. RNAcentral describes it as "partial 16S ribosomal RNA". It matches the Rfam family "Bacterial small subunit ribosomal RNA", at positions 510 to 808 of the family's 1533-position model. The record is from RNAcentral.